AUACGUAGGGUGCGAGCGUUGUCCGGAAUUACUGGGCGUAAAGAGCUCGUAGGUGGUUUGUCGCGUCGUCUGUGAAAUUCCGGGGCUUAACUCCGGGCGUGCAGGCGAUACGGGCAUAACUUGAGUACUGUAGGGGGGACUGGAAUUCCUGGUGUCGAGGUGAAUUGCGCAGAUAUCAGGAGGAACACCGGUGGCGAAGGCGGGUCUCUGGGCAGUAACUGACGCUGAGGAGCGAAAGCAUGGGUAGCGAACAGGAUUAGAUACCCUGGUAGUCCAUGCCGUAAACGGUGGGCGCUAGGUGUAGGGGUCUUCCACGACUUCUGUGCCGUAGCUAACGCAUUAAGCGCCCCGCCUGGGGAGUACGGCCGCAAGGCUAAAACUCAAAUGAAUUGACGGGG
RNAcentral lists this ribosomal RNA (398 nucleotides) under uncultured bacterium. Its description in RNAcentral is "partial 16S ribosomal RNA". It matches the Rfam family "Bacterial small subunit ribosomal RNA", at positions 523 to 918 of the family's 1533-position model. The record is from RNAcentral.